Molecule: ribosomal RNA, 433 nt
Filed under: uncultured bacterium
Lineage: Bacteria
Description: partial 16S ribosomal RNA
Rfam family: Bacterial small subunit ribosomal RNA
Source: RNAcentral
AACGAACGCUGGCGGCAUGCCUAACACAUGCAAGUCGAACGAGACCUUCGGGUCUAGUGGCGCACGGGUGCGUAACGCGUGGGAACCUGCCCUUAGGUUCGGAAUAACUCCCCGAAAGGGGUGCUAAUACCGGAUAAUGUCUUCGGACCAAAGAUUUAUCGCCCUUGGAUGGGCCCGCGUUGGAUUAGCUAGUUGGUAGGGUAAAAGCCUACCAAGGCGACGAUCCAUAGCUGGUCUGAGAGGAUGAUCAGCCACACUGGGACUGAGACACGGCCCAGACUCCUACGGGAGGCAGCAGUGGGGAAUAUUGGACAAUGGGCGAAAGCCUGAUCCAGCAAUGCCGCGUGAGUGAUGAAGGCCUUAGGGUUGUAAAGCUCUUUUACCCGGGAUGAUAAUGACAGUACCGGGAGAAUAAGCACCGGCUAACUCCGUG